CCGACUUUAGCUCAGUUGGAAGAGCAUCAGACUGUAAUUGGUUACCUUAGCCGGGGCUGCGUAAUCUGGGUGUCGUCUGUUCGAACCAGACAAGUCGGA
Mycena maculata is the source of this 99-nucleotide non-coding RNA. The record is from the annotation of a GenBank genome assembly. Lineage: Eukaryota; Fungi; Basidiomycota; Agaricomycetes; Agaricales; Mycenaceae.